GGUUUCGUGGUGUAGUUGGUUAUCACGCAAGUCUAACACGUCCACUCUCAGCAUGAGAGUAUCCGGCGGAGCACUUGAGGUCUCCGGUUCGAGCCCGGACGAAAUCA
Molecule: non-coding RNA, 107 nt
Organism: Polychaeton citri CBS 116435
Lineage: Eukaryota; Fungi; Ascomycota; Dothideomycetes; Capnodiales; Capnodiaceae
Source: the annotation of a GenBank genome assembly